AACGAACGCUGGCGGCAGGCCUAACACAUGCAAGUCGAGCGCCCCGCAAGGGGAGCGGCGGCCGGGUGAGUAACGCGUGGGAAUAUGCCCUUUGCUACGGAAUAGUCUCGGGAAACUGGGGGUAAUACCGUAUACGCCCUUUGGGGGAAAGAUUUAUCGGCGAAGGAUUAGCCCGCGUUGGAUUAGGUAGUUGGUGGGGUAAUGGCCUACCAAGCCGACGAUCCAUAGCUGGUUUGAGAGGAUGAUCAGCCACACUGGGACUGAGACACGGCCCAGACUCCUACGGGAGGCAGCAGUGGGGAAUCUUAGACAAUGGGGGCAACCCUGAUCUAGCCAUGCCGCGUGAGUGAUGAAGGCCUUAGGGUUGUAAAGCUCUUUCAGCUGGGAAGAUAAUGACGGUACCAGCAGAAGAAGCCCCGGCUAACUCCUG
This 430-nucleotide ribosomal RNA is filed under the name uncultured bacterium. RNAcentral's name for it is "partial 16S ribosomal RNA". It matches the Rfam family "Bacterial small subunit ribosomal RNA", at positions 29 to 506 of the family's 1533-position model. The record is from RNAcentral.